GUCUUUUUGAUAAUAAUUUAAAGUCUCGCCUGCCCACUGAUUAAUUGAAUGGCCGCGGUAUUUUGACCGUGCAAAGGUAGCAUAAUCAUUAGUUUUUUAAUUGAAAGCUGGAAUGAAUGGUUGGAUAAGAAAAAUUCUGUCUCAAUUUAAAUUUUUUAGAAUUUUAUUUUUAAGUUAAAAAGCUUAAAUAAUUUUAAAAGACGAGAAGACCCUAUAGAGUUUAAUAAUUUUUAAUAAAAAGUAUUUUUAGUAUAUAUAAUUAAAUUUAUUUAAAAUUAUUUGGUUGGGGUGAUUUAAAAAUUUAAUUAACUUUUUAUAAAAUAAUACAUUAAUUUAUGAAUAAAUGAUCCAUGAUUUAUGAUUAUAAGAAUAAAUUACCUUAGGGAUAACAGCGUAAUUUUUUCAAAGAGUUCUUAUCGAAGAAAAAGAUUGCGACCUCGAUGUUGGAUUAAAAUUAAUAUUUGGUGAAGAAGCUAAAUUAUUUGGUCUGUUCGACCAUUAAAAUUUUACA
RNAcentral lists this ribosomal RNA (511 nucleotides) under Trycherus fryanus. RNAcentral's name for it is "partial 16S ribosomal RNA". The stretch from base 385 to 511 matches the Rfam family "Bacterial large subunit ribosomal RNA", at positions 2473 to 2600 of the family's 2925-position model. Lineage: Eukaryota; Metazoa; Arthropoda; Insecta; Coleoptera; Endomychidae. The record is from RNAcentral.